Syngnathus acus (greater pipefish) is the source of this 445-nucleotide long non-coding RNA. RefSeq lists it as uncharacterized. The transcript is spliced from 3 exons. Lineage: Eukaryota; Metazoa; Chordata; Actinopteri; Syngnathiformes; Syngnathidae. The record is from RefSeq and is a predicted model, not a curated record.
CGCGACCGGGUCACCAACGAAGAAGAAGAAGAAACUGCCCGCGAAGGUAAACCAAAUGUAUAAUGUUGCCAACUCGGAACGAGAUGAAUGCUCCGUGGAUACAUUUUCGACCACAAAACAAGAAAGAACAAAUUGCUGCUUCGUGGAAGACGACCAUUGACAACUGACAGCAUAAACAACAAAACGGACUUGGCUGGCAGGACUGUUGGCUGUUUGAAUGACAAGGAAGUCAGUCCACCUCUGGUACGGUUUUCCUGAUGUCUGCUCCCGGACCACAUGAUUGAAUCCGCCGUGGCUUUGACGGCAGAGAGGACUGGCGACCGCCGGCCGUCCUUGUCUGCUCUUCAGAGGCGGCCCCGGAUCAGAAGGUGGCCGUCCAAGAAGAAGAGAAAGGGCCCCGUCUCAAACGUUUCCCGGUGCUCGACGGCAGGACGCUUUGAAGGAA